This is a long non-coding RNA of Felis catus (domestic cat), 13008 nucleotides long. RefSeq lists it as uncharacterized. The record is from RefSeq and is a predicted model, not a curated record. The transcript has 5 exons. Lineage: Eukaryota; Metazoa; Chordata; Mammalia; Carnivora; Felidae.
UCACAAAGGAAUCCACUGGAAGAUUUGAAGAGAAACUACAAAGGACUUCAUUAAUAUAAAAGGGAAGAUUAGUCAGAGAACAAAAGAAUAAGGAAGGAGGCAGGGAAUGGAGAGAGGGAAGGAAUUAUAAUAAUGUGAGACAGGGAGACUGGCGGGUAAAAACUAGGGAGGAAUUAAAACAAAGACUCCUCAACUUUCUAGAUCCACAAGAUCAUCCUGGAUAUCCCCCUAUGUGACAAGAUGAAGACGAAGUGUGAGUGACAGGGAAAUUCCAGUUUUAAAUGUAAACGUUUUUAAAAUGUAACAACAAUUAAAUUUCUCCUGAGGUCUGGGUUAGCAGAGCCAUAAGCACAGUGUGUUAGGGUUGAUUGGGGAAAUUUGAUAGUACUCUUUCUUUUGCUUUCUCAGCUUAUAUUCACCAGUAAAGAUUUGAAACUACCUUUGUCAACUCUCAUUCUGCCCUCAUUAGAAAGUAGGGUUUAUAUUAUCUAUAAAAAAAUUGGUAAAAAGCUUCUAGAGAGUGCACAUGUAUCCAAUGGCUUUUUGUUUUCUUAGGGAUUUUUAAAAUACAGCUGCCGCCUUCCCUCUCCCCAACAACAUAAAAUGAAUCCUCUGCAUUCCCUCCACUGCUUAUUGGGUCUCUGUACUUGCACAUUCUCUGGGAGAGGAACAGCACAUUGAAUCCGGUCAGCAUGUGUAUGUAAAUCGUCUUGGAGAAAAAAAAUUCAUUUAUUCAGGCAGCUAGCUAUUUUGUACACAACUGGUUGACCUCAGUAAUUGUGUGUACGUGUGUGUGUGUGGGGGGGGUGGUGGUGGUGGUACAAACAGCUUUGUAUGAAACUGCCUACUCAACUUUGGGACAAGAUCUAUGACUCUCAAAACUGAGCACUUAGAGUUUUUGUUGUUGUUACACAUCUUUUCCCUUCUUUGUAAUAUUAUCUGUUUUUGGUAUCUAGAGAGAGGCUUUGUUACACCUCUAUGUUGGGUUUUGGAGGGAAAGGAAGGGUCCAACUGUAAAAUAUAUAAUAAAUGUGUGCAAACAAACACUAGGCCUAACACUUGUUCUCCUAAGUGAAGUUCAUAAAGGUUGGGUCUUGCACAGUCCUUUGAACCAAUUCCCAUUCCUCCUUGGAGAUAUAGGAUGCUGAAAAUAAAGGGUUUCUUAUAUACAGUUUUGGAAACUGGUCAAGGAUUCUGGGAUGUGAACAAUAGCAUUCUUCAAGAGCCCUUACUGUGUAGUAGCAGGAGGGAAAAGGAGGGGUGCUAAGUGAUGGCAGAACCUGGCAUCUUUGACCCCAAGCAUUACAGCACUUGAGCCAUAAAGGAAGAAUACAAUGGGGGUCACUGGUCUGUCUGUCUGUUCUGAUCUUGGAGUAGGUUGACCUUUCUCAGUCAAACACAUUUCUAGGCUGUGGAGUGCUUGGCUUGCAUCUUCUAGAUAAGCUGUGGGCAUUUUGCAAGGCUAGAUUUUCCCUUUGUACCUUCCUGUCCAGUGUGUCUUGCUGUGCCUACUUCCUUUGCCCUACUGUUCAGUGUCGGGGUGUACGGGUGUUUUUAAUUGAAUUCUCUGAAAUGCAUUUCUGACACUGAUUUGGUUACAUUAUAUUCUAUUCUGUUAUCAAACAAAUCUGCUGUCAAACAAAAGAUCAAUGUUAUUGUAAUGUCCUACUUGAUGGAUUAAAUAGGGUGUUAUUCAACUCUUAUUAAACAAUCAAGAAAAACACACUGGGACAUGCUUUCACUCGCAGCUGCUAACAAAUACAUUGCAUGUGAUCUGUGAUUAAGAAACAAAGCAGGAGCAGUUAUUUUCAGAUUAAUUAAACAAACAAGUAGGAUUUAGGGACCAGGAUUUUUAAAACCCAGUACAAUUCUUUGAAACAUGUUUGGAAAAGGACAUAAUUUACUUUAACUACAUGAGUGAACACUUAAGAAUAUAAAAUCUUUCAGUGACGCAAUUGUGGAUUAAUUGCCCGGAACUAUCGCAGCGCCAUAAACAAAACCGUUCUAGGGAUGGACCUUUCAGGGGAGUUUUUUUUCCUUGUGAGUAAAUGUCCAUUUAGAGAGCUUUUCUAAAUUUAGAAGCAAUGUUCAUCAAUCAUGUAUAAUAAGCGCCAAGUAACUCCACUCUGCUGCCUGCCCGCGAUGCACCCCCCCUUUGUGGAGAGCGCACCCCUCAGUGCUUGCCUUGCUAGACUGGCAUUCACUCCAUUACCAGGGCCUGACCUUUGUGUUUCUCAGACUUUGCUCUCAAGAUGCUCAGAGAAAGCAAAUAUUAAAUCUCUCUCUUAUCUCAGCCUGCCUGGCUCUAUAUUAUCUUUAAGCCCCCUACCCCCACCCCCAUCUCCCAGCUUUACAUACAGUUGGCUACAUUUUGGCUCCUUCUGUCUGAUGCUGUUUCCGCUAAUGGCUGAAGAAAUGGAACAUUACACCAUUUAACGUGUGUGGGUCACAUUAAUCACAGAAAAUUCUUUUAAUGUCUCAGAAGUAACUGUCAAACUGGACAUACUGAAUCUAUUUAAACUAAAGCAUGCCAUUUUUUAUCUACAGUGAUCUUUAAUUCCCAUAAAAGGGUCAAGAAAAUGUGAUUAAGUGACAGUUUUAAAAUGUACUAUAAUAUUAAAUAGCUUGAUUAAGUGACAACUAUAAAAUGUAAUACAAUAUUAAGUAUCUGGCUAUGUCCCAAAAGAACUUUAAAGUAUUUUUGAACGGUUUGGGAAUUCACUAACCCAUAAUGGGUUACUAAGGAAUUUUUUUUUUUUUUUUGGUGGGGACAUAAAAAUAGUUGAACUUAAAACACACACUAAAAGAAAAACAACAACAACAAAAGCUUGCAGCAUUUACAGAUAAUUUAGAAUUGUAUUCUCUUUUUGGAGCACCAAGGACUUUUGGCAAUAAGGAAUGAUCAUUUUAGGAUUCUGAAUUUACCAGUGCUUGACUGGAAUUGUAAUGCCUGUAACACAAAGAAUGAAAUCAAAAGUAAUUGUGGCAGUGAGACCUCACAGCAGGUUGGAAAGGCCAUGAGCUAGUCAGUGAUCUCUCAGGUUACCUCCAACGGGGCUGAUCAUCACUCCUCAGGUGCCCAGCUUACCCUGUAUAUUAUAUCUUGGCUCCUAUGGGGAGUGCAGUAGGAAAUGCUAGCAUGGGUGAACUUAAGUCCUCCAGCUAGCCAGUUCCCUCCAGUAGAGUAAACCAGUGGAGAUCCUGAAAUAUAAGAUGGGGCCCAUACAAAGAUCCUGGCUGUGCCUGGACUUUAAUGGAGGAACUAUCAGGGGGCUGAGGGUAGAAGGAGACAGUUCUAUGCAAUGCCUAGGAUAAAUGUCUGGGCCAGAUGCCCAGGCCAAAUGAGUAAAGAAGUUUUGUCAUUAUUCAGACAUUUCAGUAACUCUCGGGCCCUAAAUAUUUGGUCAUCUUAGCCUGGGUUCCUCUAGAAAGCAAAACUUGAGGCAAAGGCUUUUGUGCUAUGAUGCUAUUAGGGGAUUCAACCCUGGGUAGCAGGAAGCGAAAGGAGAGUGAGGCAGAGAAAGCCAAUAUGAGGAUGUCUUACACUGUUGACUGCUACUGAUUGCUUGAUUUUGAUCUUGGUCUUGUGGGACUGUCCUCUCAGAAACCAUCUAAAACUGCAUAACCAUAUAGUCCAUCUGGGAAGAAAAAGAAGAAAGACUUAUCUGCCACCUCCCAUCUCUCAUGGGUCAAAUGUUUUCUCUAUUGUACCUCAACUCCUAACUCCUGGUUGCGUUUCAGUGGGUGCAUGGUAGGCUCUUGAGGCAUCCUUCACCUCUGUAAGCAAUAGGGAAUUCCAAGGCAGGAGUAAGGUAGGUCAGGUGGAACCUGCGUGAUGUCAUUUGGAGCUCAUGUGGUCACUGCAGUGGUGUCUGGAACAAGAAGAGUCUGAGAGAAUCUGAAGUGGCACGUAAGAGGAUCCCUAUCCAGGUCAGAAUCCGAUAGCGGAACCCUGCAGGUAAUCAGAUUCAUCAGAACAUUUCCAUAUGUCCCUGCUGAGAGGAUGUCAAUUGAAUUUUGAAGUGUCUUCCUGGCUUUUGUCCCAAGCAUAAGCUUCUCUCCACCCCCAGGGAGAUUGUGGGGCUGGGUACCAUAGUUAAGUACACUCUGCUUCUCUAAAAUUGUAAAGUAGAAAUUAAGUUUUGGUGAUGUUUAGCAAGUGGCUAUGCCUAAAAUUGUGGACAUGGGCCACAUGCCCCUUAAGAGCCUCCUCAUGUCCCAUAGAGAAAAGGGUUGAUUCUUUCAAGGACACCCUUCAAGAGAAAGAUGGGAAGCUGUGCUAGAUAUCACUACAGGUCCCACAGUGACAGAGACAAAUGGCCAUGGCACACUUAUUUAGGCUCACUCUUUCUCAGGGUGAUGAUGAAACUUCAUCUGGAAGAUUUGCUCAUCUGUCUAAUAAAUCACUGAGGAAAGUUUCCCUGAUAUUUACUCAAGACUUUCUUUCCCGUCUUCAUUUCCUUCCAUUUCUCCGGUUGCUCACCCUCAUACCAGGCUACAUAAAUCUCUUCUCCUUCUUCUGCCCCUUUGUCAACCAUUGGCCUCCUCCCCCUCUGUCAUUGUUUCGCCAGACCAUAGAUGUAACUCUUCUAAUCUUCCCUGAUAAAUCAGGCUCUUGGAAUCACUCCUUGUUGCUCCCUCAAGCUCCCUGGAGCUGGGAUAUAGGGCUCUGAGUGCCUGGUGCAGACGUUUCUUUUAUAAUGGGCCCUGAAAGGUUGUCAGCUGCAGAUAAUUAGGAUCUCACUUCCCGCCAUCGAGCUGCAUAUAUCUUCCAUGCAAAGAACCCCCAUCACCUUCAAAAGAAUUAACACAUGCAGAGGAGAUAUAUGAGGGGGCUGGGUGACCGGAGGAUGGGGCCAUCUCUUCGGAAAGCCAGAACUGCUUCAUGUUUCCUGUGAGAGAGAAGCACUUUCUCUCAGGAGAACCUGACCCUUCUCACAUUAUUUGAUGGUAAAAAUCUCAUGCCGUGAGCCUGGAUUGUGCAACACCAAGUAGUGAGGAGAAUAUUUUUGAAAGAAAGUUAUUUUGUAUAUAAUUGUGCUGUGUCUUUAUGCUUUAAUCUACUCUCUCUUCCUGUUGAACUAAAAUUUAGUCUGGUGAAGAAAACUCAAGUAUAUUUUGUGUGUGGUUUUUAUGUGCUAACUCUGAUGAUAACUGGCCCACAUCACUGUUAGACACACUGUUCAGUUUUUCUUUAAUGGUGGCUGAGAAAUAUGAGAGCUGUAGCUUCAGGAAAACCAGGGGGGCUGUCAAAUGGAUAUUGUAUCAGAACACAGUGUUGGCCCUAAAUGCAGCCUGGCACAGAGAAAAUUCUUCUCAGGCAAAUGAUCUGUGAGACUUCAGGGCCUGCCAUGGUAUGGAGGUGGGCAUAUUAACCAGAGGGGAGGGAGUAAUCAAAUAGGAUGGGCCCAAGACCCUCUCCCCACACUUCUAUCAGAGCAGAUUUAUUUUUGUCCAUACUACAUAUUCAGAUUCCAUGUAAGAUUUUGUAUUUUUAAAAAGAUGUAAUCAGUUUUCAAAUUUAAUUCCAUCACUUUGUACGUGAGGAAGGAGCCCCAAGAUGUUAAGGCCACAUGGCCUGUUAGUGCUGUUAGCAAAAGGGAGAAUACAGGGUCCCCAAUCCCUGGGUUUUUUCAUCUUUCCCUACCACUGUCCUGCAUCAUAAUCUUCAUAAUGUUCUUAAGUAUUGUAGUGGGAUCAUUAGGAAAUAGACAGGCCUAUAUAUUCCUAGGUGAAUGCUGAUGAUAAAGUACUAUUGGUGGUCUGAGAUGCUUUCACUGACCUGUGCAUUUGGAGUGAUUUUUCUGGUGGUGGGGACAGAUGUGCACUGAGUCACCCUCACAAUUGCCAUCAUCUGAGAUGAUUGGUGAAUCUCAGAGGUGUGAUCUUUGACCGUGAAUCUCAGCAAAGGGAACUGAUGCCUUGAGAGAGAAGGCACAACUUGGCCUAAACCUCUUCAGAGUCACUGCUAGAGCUAACUGUAGAAUUUUAGAGCUACACUGGAUCUCAGCCAUCCCCCAGCCCAAUCCACUCCUUUUAAAGGGGAGGACAUUGAGGCCCAGAAAAGCCAAGUGGUCUUCCCACACAAAAGAGGAGGGGGUUCAGGACUGGUAAGCAAUUGACAUUGAUUCUUGUUUCUUGCCUAGAGCGAACUGGAUCUUAAUUUGUCUGUUGUCUUUCUUCUCUUUCCACCGGGACCUGUCCAAGACAGUAAUGUGAGCAAAAGGUGUCUGCUCUGCAGACUAAAACUCCCUUUGGGCCAGCUAUUCCAAGGUCUAGAUGGGAGAGAGAAAGGGACAUCCAGGAAGUUACCAGGUCUACUUGCUUCUCAGCCCAGUCUGUGCCCUUCCAUGGAUCUUACGCAUAUAAAGAUGGUGGUUCAGCCUCAACAUGUUAACUCGUUUUUCUUAUUUGAUUCAGAACCUGGGUGAGGAAGAGUCUCAACAUCCUACUUUCUGGAACUUAUAUUGCCAGCAGUCUGCUGGCUGGCACCUCCAUGAAUCUAAACUAACUUCCCUGUGGAGAAUGGAGCCAGUUGGAAUCAUUCUUAAUAAGAAGCCCAGUGGUUGGCAUCAUUUGUUGAAAUGGGUGAAGACCAAAGUUAUAGUGGGUUUUGACUGAGAUUCCUUUUCUAAGCAGGGUUUUUAAAAAACAUUUCUUAAGAGCAAAACUUGAAACAAAUGGGAGGCCUUGUUCCCACCAGGACUUAAAAUACCAACAUAUGUAUCAAAGAAUCUAUUCAAUUUGAUAAGUCAGUUCAAAGUGACCAGGAAAUAACAACAAGAAGCCAGGCAUGGAAACCGGCGUUUGGUGUUUGGAGAACAUUAAAUACCAUCUGUACAUGGAUUGUUCUCCAAAAUCCUCAAGUUCUAAAACAUUUCUCCGCCCCUUCUGUUUUUUCUUUCAUCAAACAUUCAUUUAUUUUUAGAGAUUCAGAGGGCUUUCUCUGAUUAGGGAAAGGUGUCACAUAAUAAAAGCAAAAAAGGAGUCUGCAUAGCAAGAAAGCAUCUUGGCUAAAGUUUGGAUGGGCAAGGGAGGGAAGCUCUGGAGAGGGUGAGAGAAGACAGCAGUUAAUUAGGUUGAAGCUAUCUCUGAGAAAGCCACAGUGCUGUGGCAAGAAAGUAACUUAUUAUUGAGAAAGGCAAUGGUUUUAAAUAAGUUUCCUCCACUGGAAGGAUACUAACAACACCUACCUCACUGAGUUGAUGUCAGGGUAACAUGAGGUAAUUAUGGUUAACACUUUAUGAACUGGAAAAUGCUACGAAAACAUAACAUAGGAUUAGGAGAAGUUCAAAACCCUAAAGACAUCACAGCUUCCUGCAGGAGUGGAUAAUAGAUAUUGGUAUGUUGUAGGGUAUUCUAUGAACUGAUACGCCAGAGUUCUCUUGGUCUGCUUUCCUAUUUAUAACUCCAUAGAAAACACAAAGCAUGAAUACACCUUACUCAGAGGUAGGUGCCACCUCUGAGUGGCUUUUAUCUAAAAAAGUAAACUUAAGAAAAGCAAACAAUGUAUCUCACUCAUUUCAUUGUGCCCAGCCUUCUACCAUCCUGAGUGUCUCCUUAGGCCCCUGAAGAUGGGAAGAGCUCCCUGUAAAUGGAAAUGGCAGAAGGUUGCCAGGACCUGCCUCACUGAGGUUUCUGCCCAGCCAAGGAUAACAAGAAAGCAGGCACCAUCUGCAGCUAAAGCAUGAUUUGCCUCUCAUGACCCCUAAAGGGAACUGUUCUGUGAUUCUCCUUAAGUAGCAUGAUCUGUGUGGCUUGAUUCUGACAUCUACAGCAGCUGGAAAGACCUCAUACACAACUGCAGCAGGGAGGGAGCCAGAAGUGGGUCAGAACUUUGGCAGGACUAGUUGAGGCUCCAGAUCCAGAGGCCCUGCUUCCUGGUCCACCAGCAGAGACUUCUCAAGGCCGGAGCCCCUAGGGGUUUUCUGUUCUGUCCAUUUCUUCAUCCAGAGGAAGAUGCUUAGAUUGCAUUCUUCCCAUAGGCUGACUCCUUAGGUUCUGCAGCAUUCUGUGAGCAGCUGUGGUUGUCCCAGAGGGUGAGAGUUGAACAUAGGCCUCAAGUGAAAGAUAACAUUGGAGCCUGGUUGCUUACUACUCAGAAUGUAAUUUACAAAAGCGAUCUCUGUAAAAAGCAAUAAAGAAGCCCUUUCUGUUCUUUCAAGAGUGCUUCACAAAUGUCUAUGUGGUGAUGUGUAAUGAGUCGAACCGCUCUGUUAUACAUGCAGCAAUUUGGAGUAGCCAUUGGCCCAGUAAGGAAGAUGCUUUCUGCUACUACCCAGCUCUCAGCCCAGAGUUACUCAGUCUAGUCGUGUGGAAGGAAAUUUGCAUUUAUGGUGCACAUUUCCCGUGAUCAUAGAACGUGUCUUCUAGAAAGAUGGCUGGAUUUCAUUGCUUGCAUUUACUAUUUCAGGGGCCAAGAAGCUCCCCUAGGGUAGAGCCACCAUACAGUCUUGAGGUAUUGAUUUCAUUUAUUUGUUUGUUUAUUUAUUCAUCAGUUCAUUUAAAUACUUACUAUUUGCUGGGUAUUAUGCAAGGCACUGAUACAACAGACAAUUCUAGAGUGAAGGCAGUAAAUCAGAAUUUGUGUGCUUCUUUCUCCACUGAUCAGCAUCUUGUUUCUGGAUAGGUUCCUUCAGUUCUUUGGAACUCAUUCUUCCUACUGGCAGAUUUAGGGAACUAAAUCUGGCAGACUAGGGAACUUCCAAGAUUUCUUUACUUCCGAACACUUCUGAACUUAUAAUUUAACCAUUACAGUGUACCUAACUCUUGAGCUCUGGGAUGUAUAUGUUCAGAGGGAACAUGGUAGAUAUAGAAGGAAGUAGAAGGAAGGGUCCCUAUCUUUGAGAACUGAAAAUUCAAAAUGUCCAUACAUGACAUCAUUGGAGAACAUUACAAUUCAGCUUCUAACCCCAGGGGAAGUCAAAUAGUAUGUCUUCCUGUGGGAGAGGCAAAGAUGGUAAGAUAUGAACUAAGGAGAAAGGAAUGGUGAGGGUUGGAUUGGUGGAAAGGGAAGGGGAACAAAUUCAGCAAGUGUGUAACCUCAGAAGCAUGAAGUUUCCUAAUUUCAUACCCCUCGUAGUCCAGAGUCCUUUUUUCCUGUCACAUCAUCACAUCAUCAGACAUAUCUGGGAGUUGGUGAGCCAUCUGUUUCUGAGUACUGUUGCCAGGUUUAGCAAAUAAAAAUAUAGGUGCUCAGUGAAAUUCGAAUUUCAGACCAACAACACGAUUUUUAAUACAAUUUCCCAAAUAUUGCAUGGGAUAUACCUGUACUUAAAAAUUAUGCAUUUUUUCAUCUGAAAUUCACAUUUUAGGUGGGCGUCGUGUAUUUUAUCUGGCAAGUCUGUGCUAUGGGGAGUCAGAAUCUGGGCAUGCGCACAAGCACUGAGGGAAAAGCAGCCUCUGUUGCUCCUACCAUUUUGGCAGUUCCUAUCUCUUUGAGCACUGCCUCACUCAGAAUUCUUAAAUAAAGUUCUCUCUGGCCAGAGAGCAGACAGAACACAGCUUCUCUUCCUUCUGCUGCCCACCCUCUUUUCAGGCAAAAGUUGAAAGCAGAGAAGCCCUUGGAAUUUUAUGCUCUCAUGAGUCUGCUUUCACCAGGAUUAACAGACAGCAUCUUGCAGAAUUAGAUCCCUCCAGAUCUCCCUUCCCCAAGGCCUUGGAGUCUCCUGGACACAUAUGAAAUCUGUCUGCUCUUCUCUUGCCUCACUCUUAUUCUGUAGCUCAACAUUAAGAGCGAAAGCAGGUGAAGGAGUAUCUUUCUGCCUGUGGUAGGGAUGGACUGAGAUAUUUGUUGUUGUUGUUGUUAAUCAUUUUCUUAAAUAAAAAGAGCCCCUAGCUUCCUGUCCUCCUAUCCCUGCACAUCAGGUCAUCAGGUUGGGGUGAGAUUUAUUUCCCAAUCUCUUUGUGUAUGUAUCUUGGUCCUCACCUCCAUGUUCUUGAGUCCAUUGCCUGGAUGAAUUUGUUUGCUUAUUAGGUGGGCUAUUCCCAAGGACACCUGCAAUCUUGAGGCUGAUUGGGCAACCCAAGCAGUAAAAUCCCUGUUUAUAUCCUCUUCUGCAUGGUGCAAGCUAAAGGAUUCCUUUGGGACCUAAGAUAAUAUCUGAGCUUGCUUUAUUUCAAUGAUGAGGAGGCUCUCAUGGACAGACAAGCUCCAUUCAUUAACUUAUUCCUUCAACAUAUUUUCAGUGCCUACUUUGUGCCAUAGCAAAUGGCUUCAAAAUGAAACUCUGUCCAUGAUUGCUCAGGAGGUACACAAUUCAAACCUAUAUAUAAUCUAUCUUGCUAUUGGGUAUGAUGGGUUGUGGCCCAUUUAUUGCAAUCAGGGCAACCUGGAAGAAGCCAUGACUAAACUUUGGCCUGCCUACUAGAAUGGACCAAGUGGUAGGAACUCCAGGUUGGUAGGUAAACUAUGGUAUCAGAAGAGCAAGGUAAUAGCAGUGAGUGAUAUGAUAAGGUAUCAAGUGGAGAAGGACCUAUAAUCCAGGGAAGUCUUUUAGCAAGUAGGCCCCAGCUGUAGACUCAGGUUCAGAAAUAGGACCUCUGCUGACAGGAAGAAGAGAAGCCAUCAGGGGUGGGCAGGGCAUAAUGGGCCUGAGGAACAACUUUAGACAGAGGCCCAGUUAUCUGACAUAGGAUAUAGAGGGGACUGGGUCUCAGAAAUAAGGAAAAUACCCCACCUUAGCAACACAAGUUAAGAACCAUAGUAGAAGUGAGAAAUUUGGGGUAAUCAUUCUUGAGUUAGAACUGCAUAAACUGAUCUUUUCCAAGAUCAAAAUUGUUCCUGUGUGUUCCAUUAAGCUGAGGCUGCAGGUGUGGGUUAAGUUGCUUAACAAGGGGCCAGGUGUGUAGGUGGGUCCUGGACAGGACCUGCCAUUACUAUCAGCUCCUCAUAGGUUUCUAUGAUCACAGAAAUUUAGUGAGUAUUUCAGGCAUUGAAAAUUAUUUCCACCAGGUGAAUCAGUCUAAGCAGACUGGAUUCCUGGAAAACCUACAAAGCAGCAAACUUAAAACUUCAUUCAGAUUAGAUAAGUGGAUAGAUAGUUCCUCUUUACAGCCUUUAGAAGGCUCUUUUUCUGUAAACAGGAACUUAGCUUGGUCCCCCAGUAAAGGAAGAAAACUAGGAAAUGACCUUAGAGGAAACCAUUGAAGCCUGAUGCAGAUUGAGUUAGGUGAGUUAUCAUAUAGAUAGGAUAGGUGUUUGCCAACCUGGAGAGGGUCCUGCUCUCCCCAGAAUACAAUGGUCUUUGCACAGUAAGGGCUGGCCAGAAAAACUUGCCACAGUGACAGGUCCACAGAAGAGUACAGGGAAGAUGCUCUGGUCACAGGCCUGUGGCCAGACAGGCAAGGCCCUCGAGUAGCAAUGAAGCAAAGUGCCAGCAGGUGCUUCUCCCGUCUGAGCUCCUGGGGUCAUAAUGGGAAGAAGCCAGCUGUGUCUCUCAUGAUGAGUGACUAUUCUCAAGCUCUCCAGAGCACAGAGGCAUCCAAGCACAAAGAUCAGUCUACGGUUGAGUGCAGGUAAGGCAGAAAUGCCGGGUUCCCAGCAGUAGCUUGAAUGGCUGGAUGAAAGAUGCAAAGGAAGACAGCAGAAGUGCACAUUGCCCAGAGAGUGUGAGGGGCCAGUGGUGCUGGAGGAAGCUCCACAGUCUUCAGAGGCCAUUGAUAGCAAGAGUGUUUGUCAUCAUCUUUACAGAGAAAGCAAGGAUUUAUGGAAGCACCUGGUCUUCCUGGGCCUUGCUCUGCCUACUCUGUCCUCCGAAAGUCCCACAGUAAGCCCUGGGUCAAAAGAGGAUCUCAGCUAUUAUGUGCUCUCAGAACUUGGAGGAAUAUUUUUUAAGGUCCCUAAAUAGAUACUUAUAAGUGAGGCUUCCCUUUGGGGCUGUGUAUUACAAUUUACCUGGUUUAUAAAGAUUAUAAAAAAUGUAUCUUAAGUGUUCUAUAUAGUGAUCCACAUCCUAGGCCAAGCAGCUGUACCAGGUCAACACCCUGCUUGGCCCACCCCAUGCUGAUGACUGGGUUCUGACACUCUGGGAUUAUGAGGUAAUAGAAUUUUCGGUGUAAAAUUCUGGAAGUGAGGGACACAGUUCUUUAUCUUCUGGUGCUGGACUGGAAGGAGUUAAUGCAAUGUCAGAAGAUACUUAGACUGGGAGAGGAUGAUAAUGAUCCUUAACACUUGCCUGAAACGUUUGACUUUUCAAAUAUAUGAUGACACCUAUUAUUUCUGCUUGAUUCUCAACAAUUCCAUGGAGAAAGUGUGGUCACUAUUAUUAUCUUUUGAGUGAGGAAACUGAAGCUCAGAGGGGUUGAGUGACUUUCCUGAGGCCACACAGCUAGGGCUCAGGUGAGCCAAAACAGUUCAGUGUUCUUCUUAGCAGACCAGGAAGGCUCCUACAAGCAAGGGCGCGUUCCAGGCUCCUGGUGGGUUGCUUGUUCACAUUGUUCUUCACAUUCUCCCCCAUGGUCAUUGGAAUAUACAAAUAGGGUUGUUGACCUCGUGUUCUGGAUUGAAACGUCUAGAGCUGGUCUCCCCAAGGAUUUUGUUUUUUUGAGCCUCUUCACUGUUUUUCAUCUCAUUCACAGCUUUAAUCCUGGGCAAGAAGCUGAAAAUUUUUCAUUCAGACUCUUACUCUGUGUAAGGUACUGAUUAGUUCUUUACUAAUUCUUACUCCUUUGAUAGGAGUCUUUCCUCCUCCUCAUGAUAAUCCUAUGAAGGAAAAACUAUUAUCGUCUACUUUUUAUGAGUUUAAACGAAGACCAGAGACAGUAAGCAGUUGCCUCAGAUCCCACAGCCAGGAGGUGGCAGAAAUGGGAUUCAGUUUAAGUUGGCAGGCUUGAGUUGUCUUAAUCACUACACUGUGUCACUUCUUUUAAUCUACGUUCGUGAUUCUCAAACCAUAGUGUACAACAUGAUCUCUAGAGGAUGUGUUAAAACCUAGAUUUCUCUGCAGCACCAGGGUGGCUCAGUCAAUUAAGCAUCUGACUCUAUUUUAGCUCAUGUCAUGAUCUCAU